Molecule: long non-coding RNA, 881 nt
Filed under: Camarhynchus parvulus
Lineage: Eukaryota; Metazoa; Chordata; Aves; Passeriformes; Thraupidae
Description: lncRNA (ENSCPVG00000004678.2)
Source: RNAcentral
UGUCGCUCCCCUUCCCUUCGCACGAGGAAUGCCGGCCGGGGCCGCGGCUGCUCCCGCUGUCCCGGUAACGCCGGCCCGUCCCCACGGCAACGCCGCCGGCCAUGGCGGGGCGCGGCGCAGCGGGGUGAGGGUCAGCUAAAGGGUAAAGAUAUUGACUAUGAAAGAAAAAGUGAUCUGUAUAAAGACAUAGUCACAUUUUUAAGGAGAGAUCACCUAGAUUUGUAGAAAAUAUGGCUAAACAGGAAUAUAGUAUGUCUAAAGAAACAGCACCCAAGAAGAAUUAUCAGCAUGCGGAAGGUGCUGCUAUUUCUGGCCAAUCACAGAGCCUUCAUAAUCUUACAGAAAAGACUGAAUGUGAGAAAGGGAAAGGUUCUUCAGCAGGACCCACUGACCAUAGGUUAAAACCACAUAUGAAGUGGAAAAGCAGUGGGCUUUCUGCUUCCCAAAGUAGUGACAAGGUUCCAAAAAAAUACUCUGAAGGAGAAGGGAAGAGUGGAACUGGAUCUCUGACUACAAAAAAGAAAGCCAGUGGCAAAUCUAAAUCGGUUAAAAUUCAAGAAACUUCAAAAUGUAAAGCAUCAAUCAGCCUUGAAGACAGUGAAAGUUCCUCAGAGACUGAUGAGGAUGAACAGCCUGUACGUCGUCAGGAAGGAAGCACCGAUUUGUCAGCAGAAUACUGGGGAAUUCAAAAACUUGCAAAAUAUGUAAAAGUAAGCAUUGAUAAAUUGUAUAAAAAGUAAAAAAAAGUUACAUUUGAGGAGACCCGACCAGUUCCUUAUCCUUUCCUUUUCAUUAUACUUUAGUAUAGCCCUGUGGUGUAGUAUUUUCAAAUCCUGCAACUGUGGACUUUCCUAUUACGCACUUUCUUUUUAAUCUGCUGG